GAUCGUAAGAGUUCUAUUUUUUCUGGACGCCGGAGCAUGGCGGAUAAAUUCAGCACAGAUUAACCCGUGCUGGAAAGGAAGUCGGGCACAGACACAAAAUAAAACAUCCGGCUUCUUUUCAAAAUAAAACACUCCGUGUUUCAGGAGGAUCGUAUUUCACACCAUGCAAACGGGCGGAGACGAACAAGUGAAAGGUUUUUAGACGUCAUUUCACCCCGAUGACACCAUGGAUGAGGAGAUGCUGAUUCUAGAAGUCUAGAAGUAGAUUUCCUCCUCUGGAAGGACACAAUCUACUGCUUAUAUGUCUAUGUGUCUGUCUUUAGAGAGACAAUUCGUUGUCGCACGAUUGAACGUGAAUCUGCGGGUUCUUGUGAGUUCUUGUGAUUCCUGCUGUCCAUAAUCCACCACGAAAUU
Molecule: non-coding RNA, 414 nt
Organism: Xyrichtys novacula (pearly razorfish)
Lineage: Eukaryota; Metazoa; Chordata; Actinopteri; Labriformes; Labridae
Source: the annotation of a GenBank genome assembly